CGGCCUCCGCCGUUGUCGUCGUAGUCGCGUCCUAGUCAUCGUCGUCGUGCCGUUAUCCGUCUCGCCUCUUCCACCUCCUAUAUCGCCGUCGUGAUCGUGGUUACCGUGUUCCGAACGCGUGUGUUGGUGUUGCAGUGGUACCGGAUCGGUUCCCCGAACGGCGAGAGGCCCGCGCGACUCGCGUUUAACACUGUCGAUCCAAUCGGCCGGUGGUGAUAUCGCGAGGGUGAAAUGGGUAUCGGUUGGCGCGUGCCGCGUCGCGGUGAACGUUGCGUCGCUGAUCGCCGACAGCGGCGCCAUAACGGGGUGCGUUCGCACGAGAUCGCAAGUGUGAGAGCAUAAAACGAAGAGGAGAAAAGGGUGCCGCGAAAUCGCCACAGAAAGUUCGCGGGCCUUCCGUUUCUUUCGCUCAGUGCCGUGUUCUUCGUUGCGUGCCCGCCACCGCGUAGCUGUGUGCCGUUGUGCCCCCGGCGGGAGAACGAGAGCGUGGCUCAGGAUUGAAAAUGUGAGCAAGGUGCUGUACCGGUUGGUCAACGGGACACCGGACGAUUUCGUUGACAAGGGAAAUAUUCGCGGAGACGAAUUUCAUCUGAAACUGCCACUCUCGUAUCUCCGAUAAAUCGAGUCAACAUUUAUCUCGAACGGAUGGAACAGCUUUCGAACCGCGUCCAUCUUCUGCCAAGGGUAUUAUGUAAAACUCCAUUGAUCCCGGCACGAUGGAGAAGAAUACCAGUCGAGAUGUUCUAUUUAUCUGAGAAAUGACACGAUCGCGGGAACACGGUUAAACGAUUCGGUUUGAAAUAAGAGUGACGAACGGCAACACAGACAGUAGAAAUGUUAUGGAUUAGUCAGCCAGAGUUACAAUUGCGUCAUGUGUAUAGAUAGACUUUCUGUUUCUUGUUCUGCAACAAUCUGGUAUUCGAACGUAAUCUUUGUAAUUGAACGUGUGCUCUGUACAGUGUUCUCAAUGAAAUUCUCCAAUGGCAAACAUUUCAAUUUUAAUAAUUUACGUAUGGACAUGCUUUUGUACUUUUCAAUUUUCAUUGCGAUAUUUAAUCAUUCUUUAUUAUAUUUUAUUGACAUUCGCUUAUUGUUUACUGUA
Molecule: long non-coding RNA, 1102 nt
Organism: Megachile rotundata (alfalfa leafcutting bee)
Lineage: Eukaryota; Metazoa; Arthropoda; Insecta; Hymenoptera; Megachilidae
Source: RefSeq, a predicted model, not a curated record